This 496-nucleotide ribosomal RNA is filed under the name uncultured bacterium. Its description in RNAcentral is "partial 16S ribosomal RNA". It matches the Rfam family "Bacterial small subunit ribosomal RNA", at positions 29 to 507 of the family's 1533-position model. The record is from RNAcentral.
AUGAACGCUGGCGGCGUGCCUAAUCCCUGCAAGUCGAGCGAACGGACGAGAAGCUUGCUUCUCUGAUGUUAGCGGCGGACGGGUGAGUAACACGUGGAUAACCUACCUAUAAGACUGGGAUAACUUCGGGAAACCGGAGCUAAUACCGGAUGAUAUUUUGAACCGCAUGGUUCAAAAGUGAAAGACGGUCUUGCUGUCACUUAUAGAUGGAUCCGCGCUGCAUUAGCUAGUUGGUAAGGUAAUGGCUUACCAAGGCAACGAUGCAUAGCCGACCUGAGAGGGUGAUCGGCCACACUGGAACUGAGACACGGUCCAGACUCCUACGGGAGGCAGCAGUAGGGAAUCUUCCGCAAUGGGCGAAAGCCUGACGGAGCAACGCCGCGUGAGUGAUGAAGGUCUUCGGAUCGUAAAACUCUGUUAUUAGGGAAGAACAUAUGUGUAAGUAACUGUGCACAUCUUGACGGUACCUAAUCAGAAAGCCACGGCUAACUACGUG